CUUCGGGGACGAGUAAAGUGGCGCAGGGUGAGUAACACGUGAAUAAUCUACCCUCGAAUCUGGGAUAACCUGGCGAAAGCUAGGCUAAUACUGGAUAAGACCACGCUUCACAAGGAGCGCGGCAAAAGGAGUCUCAACCUUCGUUUGAGGAUGAGUUCGCGGACCAUUAGCUAGUUGGUGAGAUAACAGCUCACCAAGGCAACGAUGGAUAGCCGGCCUGAGAGGGUGAACGGCCACACUGGAACUGAGACACGGUCCAGACUCCUACGG
RNAcentral lists this ribosomal RNA (270 nucleotides) under uncultured Nitrospina sp. RNAcentral's name for it is "partial 16S ribosomal RNA". It matches the Rfam family "Bacterial small subunit ribosomal RNA", at positions 78 to 344 of the family's 1533-position model. Lineage: Bacteria; Pseudomonadati; Nitrospinota; Nitrospinia; Nitrospinales; Nitrospinaceae. The record is from RNAcentral.